RNAcentral lists this long non-coding RNA (29699 nucleotides) under Eutrema salsugineum. Its description in RNAcentral is "long non-coding RNA (ESAL_LNC001530)". The stretch from base 6381 to 6487 matches the Rfam family "Plant small nucleolar RNA R71". Lineage: Eukaryota; Viridiplantae; Streptophyta; Magnoliopsida; Brassicales; Brassicaceae. The record is from RNAcentral.
GAUAAGAUGGAGAGAUGCCAACGAUCAAACGUGAACUCGUGAAAGCGAUUAGAGAAUCGAGGGUCUUGAUGGUUUUGCUCUCGAAAAACUACGCUUCUUCGAGCUGGUGUUUGGACGAACUGGUGGAAAUCUUGAAGUGCAGAAAAGAUAAGGAACAGAUUGUGAUGCCUAUUUUCUACGACCUUGAUCCGUUCCAUGUACGCACACAGAGCGGUGACUUCGGAAGCGCGUUCGAGAAAACCUGCGAAAACCAAACAGAGGAAGUGAAGCAGAGAUGGGUCGAAGCUUUGAAAUGUGUAACGACCAUAGCUGGAGAACAUUCUCGUAACUGGUUUGUUUUAACCUGCAUAACUUCUUUCGUGAUUCAACCAUAGCUGGAGUUUCUAUAAUUUAUUAAGAUUUUGUUUUUUUUUUCAGGACUGAUGAUGCUGAGAUGGUCCAAAAGCUUUGCACAGAAGUCUCGAACAAACUGAAAGUGGAAGAGUCUAAGGAAGAAUUUAGGAAGUACGAUGUAGACAAUAAUGGUUUCAUAACUGCAGCAGAGCUUCCACGAUGUGUGUUGAUAAAAGAUGGAGAAGAAUCUACUGAUAAGCAAGUUCGUAGUAUCAUCCGAGUAGUUGAUAUUGAUGGCGAUGGUCAGAUCAACUUUGAUGAAUUUGUCGAACUCAUGGCUCUUAGGUAAGGGAUUCUUGAAAGCCUUAACCUCAAAGAAACAAAAAGAAAAACGAUUUAUGAUGUCUUACAGUGAAAUCUUAUCAUAUGAUUUAGAACGCUUUUGUCUCUCUUAAUCAAUGAUUCAAUAGUGGAGUUUCUAUAGUCUAAUAACAUUCUGUUUUUUUUUUUUUUUUCUUAGGAUGACUGAUAAGAAGCUUUACACGGACCAAGUGAAAGCGGAAAUGAUGAAGGAAGGCUUUAGGGAAUGCGAUGUAGACCAGAAUGGUUACAUAACUGCACCAGAGCUUCGAUAUGUGCUGACAAAAGAUGGGGAGGAAUUUACCGAUAAGCAAGUUCGUAAGAUCAUCCGAAAAGCUGAUGUUAAUGGCGGUGAUCAGCUCAACUGUGAUGAAUUCUUCAAAUUCAUGAAUCUCAUGAUGGAUGCGUAAGGGAUUCUUAAGCCUUAACCUCAUGGAUAAAAAAAAAGGAUUUAUGAAUUAUGAUGUCUUACAGUGAAAAUAUUUUAACGCCUUUUUGUUUCUUAAUCUAAUCUAUAAGAUUCUGUUUUUUUUUUCUUUUGUUAGAAAGAGGAUGACUGAUGAAAGAGCUGCGAGAGUCGAAAAGAUUGCCUCAUAUGUAUCGAACAAACUGGAUAAAUUCGCCAUAUAUAUUCAUGAUAAAAGCCUUCUCCUGAAGAAGAAAAGAAAAACGAUUUAUGAAUGUCUUACAGUGUGAAUUUUCAUCAUGAUAUGAUCCUGAUUGUCUUCUUUAGGACAUGUUUUUUUUACUUCUUUCCACCUUCGAUUUGGUUGCUUUGUUAAUCUCUUUAAUUAGUGUUAUGUCAAGUAUGAUGAACUCAUGUUUUGCUCCUCCUAGUGACAAUUGAUUUUAUCUCUUUUUUUUGUUUUUCCUAUUUAGAUAUGAGAGAUUGUAUUGGGAUAUUCAUAUGCUCAAAGUUUAAUUCCUAGAGCUACUCUGCAAGAGCACAGAUGUGCAAUUGUAGUAUAAUAGGGGUAGAACCACAGAGACAAGAGAUUCGCUCAAUAAACCUAUUAGAAAUUGAAUUACGCUAAGCAGAUUAAUGAGAAGCAAAUAGCAAUGCAAAUAAAGAUAAACGAAUGCAGUAAAAACGUUUGUAAAGUUCAGAUGGAUGGAGAUUAGGCUUAGGGCGUUUCUCAUGAAAUCAAUGCAUGCAGAUCAAUCGAUAAAUCAGGGUUCAGGUUUAAGCAUGGUUCUUGAACUCGAAUCACAGAAUUAUAAUUAACCAACUUCCAUUGUGAGAAUUAUCUAAGUUAAAAUCCUAGAAUUCCAAAUUCCUUUGCAAACCCUAAAGAUUUAAACCAGCUUUAAUGCUCAAGUUCGAUAUGUUCACAAAGUAUCUAAACCAAAUUCCUUUGCGAAUAGCUACUUUGCUCACCCUAGGUUCUUUCCAGUUACUCAAUUACACUUCCGUGUCAAUCAAUUAACCUAAGAUUUAAGUUCUAGGUGGCCAGUCCAGAAUUAGCUUUAAGAACAACCUAUGGUGAAGAACUAAAUAGAUUAUGAACCCUAAUUAAUCAAUCAAUCCAACAUCCAAUGAAAUCCUUUAUGAGAACCCUAAACCUAACAAGCAAACUACUCAGACAUGGAGAUUGAAGCAAUAAACAUGAUUGAAUAGCUUGCAGAAAAGAAAUAAUAGAUAAAUAAACAGGGGUUCGAAAUCUUCUCUAUCCCCAAAAGCUCUCAAAAACAAAAGUUCUCUCUCAGAAAAUCUAAGGUAAUCGUAAAAAGGGAAUAAAAACCCUAUAUAUAUCUCUAAGACACGUUUUGGGCUUCCUUGGAAACGUUUAGGCCCAACUCCUUCUUCAAAUAGGAAACAAAAUCGCCUUUUCCUUAUUUUUUGACAAGUGUCGCGCGUCACUCUCCAUGGUGUCGAGCGUCACUAAAGAACAAAAUCCAUUCUUGACGAAUUUGAUCCUGAUUAAGCUCCAAAGUGCUCCAAAGUCUCCAGUUAAGCUCCAAACGUACCUAUGACCUGAAAAGAUCCCAAAAGACUCGAAAGACACUAAAAAGACUCUAUAAAUAAGACAUAUACCAUGGUCAAAAACCAUAAAAACCAUGAUAUAUCAACUCCCCCAGACUUAGCAUUUGCUUGCCCUCAAGCAAACAUAACACCAAACAAGAGAAAGAAGUUUGAAAACACAGAGACUCAACCUUUCAUUGGAACAUCGCCCUUGACCAAUUGCCUGCAACUCAACUACUGCUUCAUCAUUCCAAAUCGAACCACCAUGUACUUCUCCGUAGACAUUCUCAGCAUUCCAGAUUAAGUCCAAAAUUCCACAACAUUGUCCAUAAACUCUCAUCGCUGGAUCUCACUGAUGAUUUAGAUGCCAAGAACCUUCUAGAUUCUUUCCCGUACUAUACUCAAGCAAAUCAUCCAUACACACUUUGGUACUUUUCUCUCCCCCAGACUUAUUCUUUUCGCACACUCAUCAUCAUUUUUUUAUGGCAUAUACUCGAUAAGGGUAAAGCUGCGAGUACUGAUGGUGUUUGCCAUCGAGUCCCCGAGUUGUCCCCUUAUCUUGUAUCAAAGGUUUUCAGCGAAUAGUGGGGUCAUGGGAAACAUUCCUACCCCUCACUUCCUUCCUUUGUGUGAUCAUUCCAACUUAGAAGUGAAAUAAUGGGAUCAUUGGAAACAUUCCUAGCCUUUUUUCUUUCUUUCUUCUUUUUCCUAGCUCGUCACAAGGGAGAGAAAUACCAACAUUAAAUUUUACACAGGCUUUCAUUGAUCAAGUAUGAACGAGGAAUCAAGCUCUGAGGCAUUAGUCACAUCAACGAGUUAAAAGUGAAGUUUAGAACUUAGUUCAGGUUAGUGGAUUCUGUUGGAAACAUGGACGCCUCUAGUCAGCUGGUCAGCCUUUGGAUUUUUCAUUAGUCGGAUCUAGACUGAAUCUGCAGCAGUGGUCACUUAGGUGAAAGGUCAGCACAAUAAUUUCAGGAAAAGCAUCAUGAUCUCCAACAGGUUUUGACUCAAAAACGUUUUGACACAACUGACUCUUAAGAAAAACAAACACAAUGUCAGCAACUACCUCCCCCAGACUUGAAUAACACUGUCCCCAGUGUUAUCGAGUCCGAAGUUGGUGAAACAAAAAAAAGAAACAGAGAAACACAAGAAAAACGAAGAACUUACCUGGCUGCAGUGAUGGUGACGCGCGACACUGAUGAUGGUGUCGUGCGACACUUGUUCUCCUCGUACCGAAUUGCAGCAAACCAAUCUGAAUUUCUGGUUUGACUCCGGUUGCCCGAUUUCCUUUUUUUUUUUUUUUUUUUUUGAUGAAUAGCAAGUGACAGGCGACACCGAAGGUGGUGUCGCUCGACACCAGUCCUGUUUCACCUAAAACACGAAAAAGAAAAACGAAAAUCAACUGAAACAAAAGGCUUAUUUACAGACUCACCAGUGGAUUGCCUUCCACCAAGCGCUUGUUUUAAGUCAUUAGCUUGACUAUGGAUAGACUAUGCAUCUGGUGGAUCAGACAGUGGCAAAGAGUGCCUCUGUGAAAUUCGUCUCAUCCAUGGUGGUGUGUAAGCGUUUUGCGCAUGAGGUCGUCCAAGGAAUGCAGGAAUAACACCAGGGUGAGAUCUGUGUUUGGGUGACCUUGACCUAUUCUUUGGUGGAGAUGAAUAGAACGUGAUGUUGUGAGCUUCCUGUGCAUUAGCAGCUACUGGUUCUGUAGACGUCUUAGUCAACUCAGGUUGAUCUUUCACCUUCUCAGCAUCAAACACGUUCUGAUCUCCCACUAUCACUUCAGGUAUUGCACUGACUUGGAAUGUCUGACCAUCUAUGGUUGAAUCCUUUAGCUUCUCCAUCUUGAAAGACAUGAUGGUAUCUCCUAGGUGGAGAUCAAGGUUACCAUGCUUGACAUCAAUUACUGCUCCAGCUGUAGCUAAAAACGAUCUUCCCAGGAUAAGAGGAUCUUUGGGUUCCUCUUCAUAUUCCAGAACCACGAAAUCUGUAGGAAUUAUGCAAUCACCAACUUUAAUCGGAACAUCCUCCAAGACACCUUUUGGGAUUCUUUUAGAUCGAUCUGCUAGGAUUAGAGAGAUAUUAGUUGGCUUGAAGUCAGUCAUCCCAAGGCUAACAGCUACAUAGUAAGGCAUUAGGUUGACACUCGAACCAAGAUCACACAGCGAUCUCUUGAACCUCUCAGAGAAGAUAGAGCAGUCCAAAACAAAGCUUCCUGGGUCCGAGAGUUUCUCUGGAAUCUUAUUCUGAAUCACAGCACUGACCUGUUCAGAAAUCAUCAUCACUCCUUCCUCAUGACUCAGAUUAUUAGUCACCAUUCUCUUCACAUAGUGUCUGAGAGUAGGAGCAAUCUUCACAGCAUCAACCAAAGGAAUCUCAAUAACAAGUUUCUCCAUCAAAGUCUUGCAUCUGGCAUCAUCUAUCUCCUGCUUGGACUUCCUAGGACUCCUUGGGUAAGGAACCUUAGGUUUGUAAACCUUUUCCUCAGCAGAUUUCGAACUUUGAGCAAUAUCAGCUUUGCUCUGCAAUUGGUGACGCGCGACACUGGUUGUGGUGUCGCUCGACACCGGCUCUGCAGUUUCGAAAUUUUCUUCAGAUUCGUCAAACUCCACGAUUUCAUCCUCAGAAACACCCUUUUUAAGCACUUGAGUCAACUUUUUACCACUCCUUAACGAGAUAGCACUGCAGUAAUGCCUAGGAUUGAUAUCAGUCUUCCCAGUAAGGAAUCCUUCUUGCCUUUUUACAGACUCUGCAGUCUGAGCAACCUGAGUAUCAAGCUUCUUGACAUGAGUGUUCAGAACUUCAAUUUUUCUAUUCAGAUCCAGAUACAGAGCAUCAAUCUUCCCAUUGAAAUCCACAGUCAUCUUCUGCUGACCUUCCAGUAUCUGUUCCAGCAUAGACUUCACCUCAUUAUCAGGAGUUUGAGUAGGAGGAGAACCAUAGUUCCUUGAAAACCUGUUGUUGGAGUAGGAUGUCUGGUACUGAGGUUUGGAGCUGUAACCAGAAGAGUUCUGAUUACCUGUGAAGGUACUCCUCUGAUUAUUUCCAUUGUGAUUCGUGUUCCCUUGCCCAGAACCAAAUCUCUGACCCCGAAAUCCAGCUCCAUUGAUAAAGUUAACAUCCUCUUCCUCAAGUGCUUCAUCUGGUUCGAAAUUCUUAACCUCUGCAGCGUAUCGAACGGACUUCUUACCCACUAGAAGGCUAUGCACAGAGUCAAGCUUAGCCUUCACCUCAGCAAUCUGCGAUCCAUCCAUGUUUCUAGCCUGCUUCCUUCGCUGAUAGUCUGCAUUCUUGGUUCUAGAAUGAUAAAUCGAUUAUGAAUUUAGAACACAAAGUUUAAGAAUAACUCUCUUAUUGCUUUAGAAAACUGACUCAAAAACUAAAGCUCUCAAACUCUGAUAAGUGAAACCACAACUUUGGUAACUCCUUAUAUAGAGAAAGAUUUAGACAACUUCCUAAACCUAAUGGAAUUUAGAUUACUCCUAAUUUCCUUUUCUCUUUAAUCCUAACUCUUAUAGGAAACUUUACUUAAGAAGAUUCUGGAAGCUUGCUCUUCAAGCUUACUCCAACAUUGGUACUAUUGCUAGAUGCCAAGUUCUCAAUGAGCACAACAGCAUCUUCUGGGUACCUGGUGUUGAAGUUCCCAUUGCUUGCAGCAUCAAGAGCCAUCUGAUAUCUCCAAUCAACACCUCUGAAGAAAAUACCCAACAGCUGAACAUCACUGAAACCAUGAUGAGGGCAAUCUCGCUGGUACGACUUGAAUCUCACCCAAGCAGCUUUGAACGCUUCAGUUGGUUCCUGAGAAAAAGUCGAAAUUUUCGUCCUCAACUCCUCAGAUCUAGCAUCAUCGAAGAAGUUGUGCAGGAAAGCAUUCCUGGUCUCUUCCCAAAUAGUGAGUGAUCCUGGCUCCAACUGCUUCAACCAGUUAGCUGCUUCUCCAGCAAGAGAGUAAGGAAACAGCUUGCAGAGGAGGAAAUCAUUGGACACUCCAUUGUAUUUGAUGCUGGUGACCAAGUCCUCAAACCUCUCGAUGUGAUCCAUAGGGUGCUCAUGAGAAAGACCAUGGAAAGGAUGCUGACCCACAAGAGUGUAAUACACAGGCUUGAGCUCAAAAUCAUUCCUCUGAAACGCAGGAGCGCGAAUCGCAGACCGAUUUGCAUAGAAUUGCUCAGGCCUGUUGUAGUCACCCAGCGUCCUGAUGAUGUUACCCUGUCCAUCAAGUCGCUGGCCUCUCUCAUUGCACACAUGACCCUCUUGGUCUCUCCAGACUCCAGCAUCAUCACGAAUCAAUGCCAAUGCGUUCUCCAUCUUUGCUAGUUUCUGAGACAAAGAGAAAGAACAAUGUAAGUAACAAAGCAAAAAUAAAAUAAAGAAAAACAACGGGUGUCGCGCGACACCAAUGCUGGUGUCGCUCGACACUAAGAAAAACUUAGUCGAAACUCAAGAACUAAAGUUUAAUGGCGAAAAUCAAGUCUCGGGCAACGGCGCCAAAACUUGAUCUGCUCAAAGUUUAAUCCUUAGAGCUACUCUGCAAGAGCACAAAUGUGCAAUUGUAGUAUAAUAGGGGUCGAACCACAGAGACGAGAGAUUCGCUCAAUAAACCUAUUAGAAAUUGAAUUACGCUAAGCAGAUUAAUGAGAAGCAAAUAGCAAUGCAAAUAAAGAUAAACGAAUGCAGUAAAAACGUUUGUAAAGUUCAGAUGGGUGGAGAUUAGGCUUAGGGCGUUUCUCAGGAAAUCAAUGCAUGCAGAUCAAUCGAUAAAUCAGGGUUCAGGUUUAAGCACGGUUCUUGAACUCGAAUCACAGAAUUAUAAUUAACCAACUUCCGUUGUGAGAAUUAUCUAAGUUAAAAUCCUAGAAUUCCAAAUUCCUUUGCAAACCCUAAAGAUUUAAACCAGCUUUAAUGCUCAAGUUCGAUAUGUUCACAAAGUAUCUAAACCAAAUUCCUUUGCAAAUAGCUACUUUGCUCACCCUAGGUUCUUUCCAGUUAUUCAAUUACACUUCCGUGUCAAUCAAUUAACCUAAGAUCUAAGUUCUAGGUGGCCAGUCCAGAAUUAGCUUUAAGAACAACUUAUGGUGAAGAACUAAAUAGAUUAUGAACCCUAAUUAAUCAAUCAAUCCAACAUCCAAUGAAAUCCUUUAUGAGAACCCUAAACCUAACAAGCAAACUACUCAGACAUGGAGAUUGAAGCAAUAAACAUGAUUGAAUAGCUUGCAGAAAAGAAAUAAUAGAUAAAUAAACAGGGGUUCGAAAUCUUCUCUCUCCGGAACAGAGUUUCAGACUUGUCUCCCCAAAAGCUCUCAAAAACAAAAGUUCUCUCUCAGAAAAUCUAAGGUAAUCGUAAAAAGGGAAUAAAAACCCUAUAUAUAUAUCUCUAAGACACGUUUUGGGCUUCCUUGGAAACGUUUAGGCCCAACUCUUUCUUCAAAUAGGAAACAAAAUCGCUUUUUCCUUAUUUUUUGACAAGUGUCGCACGUCACUCUCCAUGGUGUCGAGCGUCACUAAAGCACAAAAUCCAUUCUUGACGAAUUUGAUCCUGAUUAAGCUCCAAAGUGCUCCAAAGUCUCCAGUUAAGCUCCAAACGUACCUAUGACCUGAAAAGACCCCAAAAGACUCAAAAGACACUAAAAAGACUCUAUAAAUAAGACAUAUACCAUGGUCAAAAACCAUAAAAACCAUGAUAUAUCAGAUAUAACAUAUAUCAUCUCGUUUUUUUUUUUUUUUUUCUUUUUGUAAAGAAUAUCACUUGAUCUAUGUACCCAAGUAUAUUUAAGAAAUUGGAAAAAUAAGGAUAUUUUAUAAGAAAAUCAUUAAAUUGUAUAAAGAAUAUAAAGUGCUAUUAAAAAUGUGAUUUAAAAAAAAAGAAAAGUACGCAUGAUCCUUCUAUACUUAUAUUCCUAGCUCUUGAGAAAUGAGUUAUUUGAGUUUGGAGACACACGUUCAGGGGACGGUACUCGGCUCUUUGAAAGAGUAUUAAGCUUGAAUGGAUUGCAUGAGCCACAGAACCUUAAGUGUCGGAGGCUUAUCCGCUUAUGUGAAUCAAGUUCAUGUCCACACAAUGAGACGAUACGGUCAAAUAUGUCCUAUGUUCUUGGACCAGUUGCAUACAAUUUAAUUAUCCUCUUGUCAAUAUUAGAUUAGAGAUACAACAGUUUUGUCUUCCAUAGAGAGAGCUUCUUCAUCAUCGACGAAAAGAAGAACAAAAGCCCAUACAUAUCCCAGUUGAAAACGAGAAGAAAAGCCCACACAGAAAAUUAAAGAUACGUGAUUACCUAACUGCAAAAGACAAAGGUAUGUGACCACCUCGGUAACUGCAGAAGACAGUUAAAGGUUGUUGAGUUGAGCCGCCAAAACAGAAUACUUAGAGCAAAAACAGAAGAAGAAGGUAUGUGACCAGCUAGGUAACUGCAGAAGACAAAUAAAGGUUGUUGAGUUGAGCCGCCAAAACAGAAUACUCUCAGUGUAAAAACAGAAGAAGAAGGUACGUACGUGUUCUGUUUCGUAUUAAGAUUAAAAAAAAAAUAGAGCAAUGAGUUCACAAAGGCAUGUGUCAGAGUGUGAUUAGUAGAUUUAGAUCUAAGCUUUAAAAGUGAAAAACAACUAGCAUUUAGCAACAAAAAUAAAAGCAACUAGCUAGUAGAAAACUGAGAGUGGCAAUGGAUGCUGAUAUAUACUUCCUCAUCAACCUCUCAUUUACACUAUUAUUCAUUGAAUAAGAUUAAUAAAAUAUGAUCUUUUAAUUUAAUAGUUUGGAUUUUUUUAAAUAUACGUUGCAUUAAUUAUCAAAAAUUUGUUACUAAUAUAUCUUAAAUGUAAUUUUAUAUAUUAUCUAUGUUUUUUAACAUUUUAAGUGUUUUUUAUAAAUUUAAAUUCGUGUAAUUUUAUGCUAAAUUGUGUUAUUUAAAAAUAUAAUAUUUUGUUAACAUUAUUAAUAUUUGUGAGUGUAUUAAUUUUACUAUUAUAGUUAAUAUAAAUAAAUAUACUAAAUUAAGAUGUAAUCUAAGAUGUAAUUAAUAUAAUUAAAUAUAUUUAAGAUAAUAUUUACUUUAAUAUAUUUUAUAAAAUAAAAACAAAAGAUUUUUUACUUUAAGAUAAUAUUUAGAGACAUUACACUUAAAUGCAUUUUUUAAACACAUAUUACAAUAAAAUACACUUCUAGCUAUUAUGAUAUUUUUUUGUUUUUUUUAAUUUCAUACCAAAAUAAUCCAAAAUUGUCUCAUGUGUUCACGAUAACGUUGGAUGCGAACUAGCAUAGAUUAAACUCAGAUUUUAAAAACAGUAAUUUUUCUCAUCUAUUUUUUGUAUUUUUUAAUAUUGUGAAAGAUAAAUAAAAACAGUUUUUUGUUAUAAUGAAAUAUAAUUUUAUUUUCUCAUAUUUUAAGACACAUUAUACUAUAAUUUAUUUAUUAAAUAAGAAAUUUUUCGAAAAUCAUUUAUAUAAAAUUCAAAAAAAAAAUCACAAGUUUAGUUAGAUAUCCAUUCACAAAAUAAAAUAUGGAUGAUAUAUGAUGGACAUAAAACAUGGACAUGAUGGCAUGAAUUAAUUUUAAUUGAUAUAUUUGACGUGGAUAUAUAUUUUACAUUGUCCACGAUAUAGAUAUAAUUGUGUGGAUAUGUUGUUAUUGAUAUAUUCGACAUGGAUAUACAUUUUACAUUGUCCAUAAUAGGACAUGAUCAUAUGAAUUAUUUUGAUGUUAAAUUUGAAAAAAAAAAAUUAUAAUAAUUAAAAGUGCUUUUUUGUAAGAAUAAGUAGAAAAAUAUAUUUUUGAGUGUAAAUCACUCUAAUAUUUAACUUAAGUUUUCAAUAUUAAUUACACUGAAAUUAAAAUUUGUACAACAUUAAUAAUAUUAUAUAGAUGAGAUAUAUUAGUGGAUACUUUAUCAAAAAAGGCAAAAAUUUAUGAUAGGGUUCUCAAAAAAAACGAAUUCUUAAAAUAUUAGUACUUCCUUCAUUCUGAUUUUAUAUGAUACUUUAUCAUUGUACACAGAUUAAGAAAUCUUUAAUUUAAUUUUUUUCUAUACUAAAACUUUAAUUUUUAUCAUUUUCAAUAUAAUGCAACUAAUUCAAAAAAAUAAUAUGCAAAAUAUAAAAAUCUGUAAAACACCAUUUAGAUAAGAACGGAUGAAAUAUUAUAUUUAUGAGAUAUCCUUAAGAUAUCUUAAUAGAAAUGCUCUUACAAAUAAAAACAAACCAGUGGUCAAAUGUCUUUGGAAAUGUCUCUGUUCUUUGACGACAACAAAAAUUGUCUCUUAACUUUCAGUGUUUUGUUUCAAGAGAAACUAGAUUCUAACCCUGUGCAUCCGCACAAGAAUUUUUUUUAUUUCUGAUAUAAAUUGUAAUUAUUUUUUUGUUUAGAUAUAAUUUGUUUUUGUUAUUUAUUUUUUUUUUAAAUCAAGAAAAUUUUUAGCAUGUUUUAAUUUUAAAUAAUAUAGAUUUGUAUAUCAGUAGAAUAAAUGUAUAAGUUAAUUACGUAUACAUCGACCUAAUGUUAAUUAUAAAAUUUAUUAUUAUGUAAAUUUUUAUUUACAUAUAAACAAUCUAUGUAUAUAUCUAUGAAUUUGCUAAUCUGUCUGUUUAGUUGCCUUAAAAUCAUUUUUUUUAUAAAUAUUUUACAUGUUUUGACAAACUAACCAGAAUAAAACUCUAAUUAUAAAGGGAGAGUUUCACAUUUAACCCAUAUUUCACAGUCAAACAUCAAACUAACCUCUUUUUUUUCUCUCUCCAACUUUUGCCAUUUUCUCACAAUUUUAUCCUUCCCACUUUAACUAUUAACGAAAAUACCAUUAUACAUCUAUUAUUUCGAUUUUUCUUUAAUUUGGCUAAAGUCUCCUUGGACCUUCUAAAGACCUUUUAAUUACGAGAAUGCCAUCUUUUUCAAUUUCUUCAACCACCAUGAACAACCAUGAAAAUAGAAUAAAUGCUUCUCAACCAAUUUUAAAGCUGUAAUAAAACAAAUAUCUGAGCUCAUUCACUCAUAACCUUGCUCAUUCUUUCAUAAUUUCUUCUCCAAAACAUCUGGGCAAAGUUACAAUGCUUCGCGCCAUGCUUUUUUGGUGAUUUCUGGUUACUCGACACCUGGGUUGUUUAAUUUCGGUGAAAUCUUGAGUUCUGGGUGGAUAAGAGAAACUUAGGCGAGCACAAUUUUGUUAAAGGUAAUCCUCGCACUUCAAUUUCUCCACAUUUCAGUUUUUAUAUCGCGAAAGUAGACUUCUCGUGAACUAUACUGAAGUCUACUAGUCAACAUAAGGUUAUUUUUGCAAUUGACUUUUAAAAAGUAGACUUCGUUAAACUUCACGAGAAGUCUACUCGACAUCCUUUGAAAACAAAAAAAAAACUUAGUAGACUUCGUUUGAAGGCUCAAGAAGUCUACUAAAGAAAAGAGGUUAUUUUUGUAGUUUGCCGUAUUUUGACUUUUUGAUUUAGACUUCCGUAUGAAGUCUACUGCUUACGUCUGCAUACAAAGUCUACUUUAAAGUUACUUUUGUAGUUUGACCAAAAACGUAUAGGUCAUUUUUGUGUUUGACUUCUGUUUUUCAAAAAUUAAAAAAUUUAAAAAAUUCCAAAAAACUUCAGUAGACUUCCCAAAGAAGUCUACAAUUUGUAGACUUCUUUGGGAAGUCUACUUAUUUUGUUCGGUCAAACUUAGAAGGAAUCCUUUUUUGAGUAGACUUCUCAAAAAAAUCAAUUGCAAAAAUAACCUAUUUUGUUCCGUAGACUUCUAUUUAAAAAGUAGACUUCAAAUGUAGACUGUCAGAGAAGUCUAUUCUAACAUGAAGUCUACAAUAGAAGUCUAUUCUGUUAGUCAAUGCAUCGGUCCAAUGCUAAAGUAACCUUUUUUUACUGAAGUCUACUCCUGAAGUCUACUGAAGGAAAAGUCAACAGAUUGGUCAAUUGCAAAAAUGACCUUUUUUGUAGAUUUCAUUAGUAGACUUCUCAAUGAAAAAGUAGACUUCUCCUCCAGUCUACAGUUGAAGUCGGCUUACGAAGUCUACUUUUUGAUGUUUUUUAAAAAAUGCGUUUUAAGCAAAUUUAUAAACUAUUUUUCAAAUUUUUUGGUUUAGAAUUGCUUCUUAGUAAGUGAUUGAACUUCCCAUUCAAUUUUAUUUCAUUUCAUUGGAUAUUUAUUGUUGAAUCAGAAAUUUCAAUUUUUUAGGUACUUAGCUUAUCAAAGUAGACUUCUCCUCCAGUCUACAUUCAAAGUCUGCUUUAGAAGUCUGCUUUAGGAGUCUACUUUUAGACGUUUUUUUAAAAACGCGUUUUAAGCAAAUUUAUAAACUAUUUUUCAAAUUUUUUGGUUUAGAAUUGCUUCUUAGUAAGUGAUUGAACUAUCCAGUGAAUUUUAUUUUCAUUUCAUUGGAUAUUUAUUGUUGAAUCAGAAAUUUCGAUUUUUUAGGUACUUAGCUUAUCAAAGUAGACUUCGUCGUGUAGUCUACUCAUGUUCUUUUCCGUAGAAGUCCACUCUUGAUACAAAAAGUCUCUAUGCAGUGUUUGCUAAUAUGGUUUAUAUGGUUUAUAUGGUUAUUUUUUCAGAGAAUGGCUCAAAUUCUAGUUGUGUACGGUGAGUGGAAGAUUGAGGAGAAUUCAUGGCAUUUUGUUGUUGACAUGGGCAAAGGUGGAAGAAUGUGGUUUUUGAACGAUGGUUGCACCUUGGGGGAGCUUACUGAGAUGGCGCGAGAUGAUUAUAACUUGGGCAAGAAGACUGAGCUCAUCGAGUUAACCUGCGCACUACCAAUCUCAAUGUUGCAAACUAUGGCUCCAGAUACACCUCCAAUGCAUGUCACCAAUGAUAGAAAAGUUUCAAGCUUGAUUGCGUUAAGCAGAGUGCAUAUGGUACGUCUUUGUGUGUCCAGUCGAGUGGAGAUGGAUACUGAGGAGAACCAGGAAGGAUCAGAUGAAGAUUUAGGUGAGGAGUCUGAGGAAAAUUCCGAAUAUUCUACCGAUGAUGAGGCAGACAGUUCUGAUGUGAACAAGGAUGGAGAAGAUGUCGACAAUGCAGCUUACUCUGACGGAGAAGAUUACAGUGUCUACAGUAAAGUGAAAGAUGAAGAUGAUGAUGAAAAUGAAGUCUGAAUUACUCUGCAGUUUAUUGUCACAAACAGGCAUGAAUUUACAAAUGACUACACCAAUGCUAUAAUUUAGUAACAUGUUUUAUCAUAGUCUGAAAAUUGUAAACAACUAGUUUUUAAAACAUAAGUAAAUAAUAUCACAUGGUACAUUACACUAGUAAACAUGUUCGAAUUCAAAUGACAUUAGUAUUAAAUGUUCCUAUCUUUGUGUGAUCUUGUUCGCACGUAAUGUUUUCGUAUAGGCGGAGGGUUUUUGGUACUAACCCCUUCAUGCUUCUUGGAUCCAGUGCCCUGCUGCUGGGUUGACUCUACAUUGUCUUUAACCUCUUCCUCAGUGUGCUUCGCCGACCCUGUAGUCAACUCCUCUACCGCACGCUCUACAGAUUCAACCUUCUCGGUGAGAAGUUUGAUCUGCUUUUCACAGCUACCAAGACCAUUCAGCAUCUUGGUUGAAAAGCUUUUGAAGCAUUGGUCGAAGUGCGCUUUCAUAGUAGCGACAACUCCGAUCCCUUCGUCACCAACGAAUGAGGCGGCAGAGGCAGAGGCUGUGCAGGGUCUCUUGCGACUUGAUUCAUCUGAGGGAAGGCUCCUCUUUCCGGCUUCUGCCUUGACGAUGUGUGCACCCAAAACACCUUCCAAAGGCCAAUGGUUUUUUGAGAACUUGAAAUGGGGGUCAUGGAUUGCAUUGACAAUCUUGAAAAUAUCUGGAUCCUGUUCGUCAUCAUCCCACACGGGAAACAUAUCCGCCAAGUCCUUAGCCACGCAGCACUGUAUGCGAGCUUGGAAAAACACAAUAAGUAAAUGAAUUACUAUCCAUAUGAAGCCUCGAAAAACUACGUAUGAAGUCUACUCCUGAAGUCUAACAUAGAAGUCUAUUCCUGAAUGUCUCACACUAUCAAUGGUACAUAUAGAAGUCUACACAUGAAGUCUACUUCUGAAGACUACUUUGAAAAUUCAUUACUACAUAGAAGUCUACUACACUAAUACAGUACCUGUUUUAGCAUGUUGGCUUUGGCGUUCUUUCGUCCUCUUGAUCCUUUGUAAUCCAGCAAAAGAGGUUCAGUAACAUUUGGCAAUGGUUUGCCAAAUCCAGCAGCAAAAUCCGGCAGAGCAUAGUACACCCACACUUGAAGAGCUUGCACAAAUCCUUCUAUAUGAAUGUUUUUGCUGAGAUCUUUCUCCUUAACAGACUUGAUCAAAUGCUGAAAAGCAAUUCUUCCCCAUGGAAACUCCUUAAAACCUUCGAGAUCCAUCACUAGUCUGGCAUGGUUGACAUUUGUGGAUUAGCCAGGUCUUGUUGCCACUAUGAAACCAGCGUAGAUCCCAAGAUAACCCAACCGCAGCCUAUCAUCCCGAGACCAUGAUGAGCAGUUGGAACAGGCUUCAAUAAUUUCGAUAGUGCUUGGACCCGACUCCGCAUCGACCCCCAUUAGCUCCCAAAAUGCACGCAUGUCAUCGGCAAGCGCAAGAUCAGUUAAAGCCAAGUCAUCCACGUACCCGCAGUUGAGUCCGGUGAUCUCCUCAAACUCAUGCAAUGAAAACCAAACUGGAGUGGUACCAAUCAGGCUCCAUAUCUCGUACCUCUGCUUGCAAACUAUCUGAAAGGUCAGCAUGUGGUGCACCAGCCUAGAAGCCCAACCAAAAUCCCAGUCGUGGAACUUUAAAAAGACACCCAACGGUGACUCGUAAAUCUCUUCCCAUUCAUCCUCUUGUAGAGCUGACUUUAGUGCAGGUACCAGCCUAUAAUCAUCAGCAUAAUAGCUCAUGCUUUUAUCUGGGGCUGGCUCAAACCCUUUGGUGUACAGUCUUCUAGGGAAAUCAGAGGCCACCAUUAUCUAACACAGAUUUCUGCAUCAACGGUAACAAAGCUCUAAUGAGAAAAACUAGUAACGAUUUGAAACUAUACACGAAUGAAGUCUACUUUUUCAAAGUGAAGUCUACAUUUUCAAAAUAAAGUCUACUUUUUCAAAAUGAAGUCUACUUUUUCAAAAUGAAGUCUACUUUUGCAAAACGAAGUCUACUUUUUGCAAAAUGAAGUUUACUUUCACAUUCUAAGUACAAUCCGAGUCGAGAAGUCUACUGAAGCCAACCGAAGUAAUCUUAACAUAAAAAAACAGUAUAUUAAGUCAACGGAAUCCACAUGAAACAAUCAAAACAUCAUAAAUACUGCAUAUGCAGUCUACAGAACCCAACCGAAGCAAUCAAUACAUGAUAAAUACUGUAUAUGAUGUCUACUAAAACAAAUCAUCCAAAUGGAAUCUACAAAGUUUAUAGUGUUUACCGCCGUUAUUAGAUGAAGCUGGAGUCGAGAAAAUGCAACCAGAUCUGGGAAAAAAACCUAAGUCAAACCCGACAGACAAAAUUACAGGAAGAUAGAAGAAAUAUAAGAAUUGCUAAGUAUAUAACUUCGGAACAACAUCUACUAACCGUUUUGAGGCAGGAAAUGACGUUAACCUCCAACGGCGAAAGCAGAUCUGCAAAAAAAAAAAAACCCUAAUUUCAAAUCUAGAAACUGGUGGUUACGAAAACGGAAAGGUGAUGAAUAUUGAAUACGGAGGAGUAGGGAAGCAUGGGGGUGUGGUUGGAGGAAGAAAACUUGCCUGAACGAGUUUAUCGGCAGCGGUUCUGUAUGUCGGCGGCGCCGGAGCAGAAAAACAGAAAUCGCCUUCGACUUUUUUUUUUUUUUACACGAACUUUCGACGGUUUUUUUUUUAACAGGAUCUGUAAAAUUCGUAUAUAUAGUCUUGUAAUUCCGUACGGUUCGGAUAAGUUUUUUUCGGUUAGGAUUACUAAUUUUACGGGGUCUAGGUAAAUUUACCCGGUUACAAGCAGUUUUUCUUGGUUAAGGGAAAUUAUUCCCGGUUUAAUUUCGGUUUAAAUUUUGGUUAGGUUAUUUUAUUCGGUUUAGUAGAUAUACAACUUUUAAAACCUAAAUAAUAAAUUUACUUCUACUUAAUUUAAAAACAUAAAUUCAAAAAUCAAUUAGUUCUCUUUUCUCAGCACUCUUUCCUCUUGUUUCUUUCUUCAACCUUUAUUUUACUCUCUAGCAUAAUUUUUUAAAAACAACAAAAGAAAACCAGUAGUUUUCUUUUGAAACAAGCCAGUAGUUUCCACUACAGUUCUCAUACAAAUUCCUUUGAAUUUUCCUCUCCUCUUUACCCGUUUGGCUUAUAUAUAUGAACUAAGAAAGCUUGUUUCCUCAAACCACUGCUAUACUUUCUUCAAACUCUCUUUUGCUCUAUCUCUCUCAUGGCUUCUUCUUCUCCUCCUUCUCCUUGUGCUUAUAUUAAGAGAUACGAUGUCUUUCCAAGCUUCAACGGGCCAGAUGUUCGUAAAGGACUCCUCAGUCAUUUACACGAUCACUUUUUAAGGAAGGAAAUCAAAAUGUACAAGGAUGAUAAGAUGGAGAGAUGCCAACGAUCAAACGUGAACUCGUGAAAGCGAUUAGAGAAUCGAGGGUCUUGAUGGUUUUGCUCUCGAAAAACUACGCUUCUUCGAGCUGGUGUUUGGACGAACUGGUGGAAAUCUUGAAGUGCAGAAAAGAUAAGGAACAGAUUGUGAUGCCUAUUUUCUACGACCUUGAUCCGUUCCAUGUACGCACACAGAGCGGUGACUUCGGAAGCGCGUUCGAGAAAACCUGCGAAAACCAAACAGAGGAAGUGAAGCAGAGAUGGGUCGAAGCUUUGAAAUGUGUAACGACCAUAGCUGGAGAACAUUCUCGUAACUGGUUUGUUUUAACCUGCAUAACUUCUUUCGUGAUUCAACCAUAGCUGGAGUUUCUAUAAUUUAUUAAGAUUUUGUUUUUUUUUUCAGGACUGAUGAUGCUGAGAUGGUCCAAAAGCUUUGCACAGAAGUCUCGAACAAACUGAAAGUGGAAGAGUCUAAGGAAGAAUUUAGGAAGUACGAUGUAGACAAUAAUGGUUUCAUAACUGCAGCAGAGCUUCCACGAUGUGUGUUGAUAAAAGAUGGAGAAGAAUCUACUGAUAAGCAAGUUCGUAGUAUCAUCCGAGUAGUUGAUAUUGAUGGCGAUGGUCAGAUCAACUUUGAUGAAUUUGUCGAACUCAUGGCUCUUAGGUAAGGGAUUCUUGAAAGCCUUAACCUCAAAGAAACAAAAAGAAAAACGAUUUAUGAUGUCUUACAGUGAAAUCUUAUCAUAUGAUUUAGAACGCUUUUGUCUCUCUUAAUCAAUGAUUCAAUAGUGGAGUUUCUAUAGUCUAAUAACAUUCUGUUUUUUUUUUUUUUUUCUUAGGAUGACUGAUAAGAAGCUUUACACGGACCAAGUGAAAGCGGAAAUGAUGAAGGAAGGCUUUAGGGAAUGCGAUGUAGACCAGAAUGGUUACAUAACUGCACCAGAGCUUCGAUAUGUGCUGACAAAAGAUGGGGAGGAAUUUACCGAUAAGCAAGUUCGUAAGAUCAUCCGAAAAGCUGAUGUUAAUGGCGGUGAUCAGCUCAACUGUGAUGAAUUCUUCAAAUUCAUGAAUCUCAUGAUGGAUGCGUAAGGGAUUCUUAAGCCUUAACCUCAUGGAUAAAAAAAAAGGAUUUAUGAAUUAUGAUGUCUUACAGUGAAAAUAUUUUAACGCCUUUUUGUUUCUUAAUCUAAUCUAUAAGAUUCUGUUUUUUUUUUCUUUUGUUAGAAAGAGGAUGACUGAUGAAAGAGCUGCGAGAGUCGAAAAGAUUGCCUCAUAUGUAUCGAACAAACUGGAUAAAUUCGCCAUAUAGAUUCAUGAUAAAAGCCUUCUCCUGAAGAAGAAAAGAAAAACGAUUUAUGAAUGUCUUACAGUGUGAAUUUUCAUCAUGAUAUGAUCCUGGUUGUCUUCUUUAGGACAUGUUUUUUUUACUUCUUUCCACCUUCGAUUUGGUUGCUUUGUUAAUCUCUUUAAUUAGUGUUAUGUCAAGUAUGAACUCAUGUUUUGCUCCUCCUAGUGACAAUUGAUUUUAUCUCUUUUUUUGUGUUUCCUAUUUAGAUAUGAGAGAUUGUAUUGGGAUAUAACAUAUAUCAUCUCGUUUUUUUUUUCUUUUUUUCUUUUUGUAAAGAAUAUCACUUGAUCUAUGUACCCAAGUAUAUUUAAGAAAUUGGAAAAAUAAGGAUAUUUUAUAAGAAAAUCAUUAAAUUGUAUAAAGAAUAUAAAGUGCUAUUAAAAAUGUGAUUUAAAAAAAGAAAAGUACGCAUGAUCCUACUAUACUUAUAUUCCUAGCUCUUGAGAAAUGAGUUAUUUGAGUUUGGAGCCACACGUUCAGGGGACGGUACUCGGCUCUUUGAAAGAGUAUUAAGCUUGAAUGUAGAUUGCAUGAGCCACAGAACCUUAAGUGUCGGAGGCUUAUCCGCUUAUGUGAAUCAAGUUCAUGUCCACACAAUGACGUCAUACGGUCAAAUCUGUCCCAUGUUCUUGGACCAGUUGCAUACAAUUUAAUUAUCCUCUUGUCAAUAUUAGAUUAGAGAUACAACAGUUUUGUCCUCCAUAGAGAGAGCUUCUUCAUCAUCGACGAAAAGAAGAACAAAAGCCCAUACAUAUCCCAGUUGAAAACGAGAAGAAAGCCCACACAGAAAAAAUACGUGAUUACCUAACUGCAAAAGACAAAGGUAUGUGACCACCUAGGUAACUGCAGAAGACAAUUAAAGGUUGUUGAGUUGAGCCGCCAAAACAGAAUACUCUCAGUGCAUAAACAGAAGAAGAAGGUACGUACGUGUUCUGUUUCGUAUCAAGAUUAAAAAAAAAAAUAGACCAAUGAGUUCACAAAGACUAUGUGUCAGAGUGUGAUUAGUAGAUUUAGAUCUAAGCUUUAAAAGUGAAAAGCAACUAGCAUUUAGCAACAAAAAUCAAAGCAACUAGCUAAUAGAUAACUGAGAGUGGCAAUGGAUGGUGAUAUAUACUUUCUCAUCAACCUCUCAUUUACACUAUUAUUCAUUGAAUAAGAUUAAUAAAAUAUGAUCUUUUAAUUUAAUAGUUUGGACUUUUUUAUAUAUACGUUGCAUUAAUUAUCAAAAAUUUGUUACUAAUAUAUCUUAAAUGUAAUUUUAUAUAUUAUCUAUGUUUUUUAACAUUUUAAGUGUUUUUUAUAAUUUUAAAUUCGUGUAAUUUUAUGCUUAAUUGUGUUAUUUAAAAACAUAAUAUUUUGUCAUUAUUAAUAUUUGCGAUUGUAUUAAUUUUACUAUUAUAGUUAAUAUAAAUAAAUAUACUAAAUUAAGAUGUAAUCUAAGAUGGAAUUAAUAUAAUUAAAUAUAUUUAAGAUGUAAUUUAAUAUAUUUUAUAAAAUAAAAACAAAAUAUUUUUAACUUUAAGAUAAUAUUUAGAGACAUUACACUUAAAUGCAUUUUUAAACACAUAUUACAAUAAAAUACACUUCUAGCUAUUAUGAUAUAUUUUUUUUUUUAAUAUUUCAUACCAAAAUAAUCUAAAAUUGUCUCAUGUGUUCACGUAACGUUGGGUGCGAACUAGCAUAGAUUAAACCCAGAUUUUUAAAACAGUAAUUUUUUCUCAUCUAUUUUUUUGUAUUUUUUAAUAUUGUGAAAGAUAAAUAAAAAACAGUUUUUUUUGUUAUAAUGAAUUAUAAUUUUAUUUUCUCAUAUUUUAAGACUUAUUAUACUAUAGUUUAUUUAUCAAACAAGAAAUUUUUCGAAAAUCAUUUAUAUAAAAUUCAAAAAAAAAAAAAAUCACAAGUGUAGUUAGAUAUCCAUUCACAAAUAAAAUGUGGAUGAUAUAUGAUGGACAUAAAACAGGGACAUGAUGGCAUGAAUUAAUUUUAAUUGAUAUAUUCGACGUGGAUAUACAUUUUAUUGUCCACAAUGUGGACAUAAUUGCGUGGAUAUGUUUUUAUUAAUAUAUUCGACUUGGAUAUACAUUUUACAUUGUCCAUAAUAGGACAUGACCAUGUGAAUUAUUUUGAUGUUAAAUUUGAAAAGAAAAAAUAUUAUAAUAAUUAAAAGUGUUUUUUGUAAGAAUAAGUAGAAAAAUAUAUUUUUGAGUGUAAAUCACUCUAAUAUUUAACUUAAAUUUUCAAUAUUAAUUACACUGAAAUUAAAAUCUGUAAAAAAUUAAUAAUAUUAUAUAGAUGAGAUAUUUUGGUGGGUACUUUAUCAAUAAAGGAAAAAAUUUAUUAUAGGGAUCUCAAAAAAAAAAAUGAUACUUUAUCAUUGUACACAGAUUAAGAAAAUCUUUAAUUUAUUUUUUUUCUAUACUAAAACUUUAAUUUUUAUCAUUUUCAAUAUAAUGCAACUAAUAUAAAAAAUGAUAUGCAGAAUAUAAAAAUCUGUAAAACACCAUUUAGAUAAGAACGGAUGAAAUAUUAUAUUUAUGAGAUAUCCUUAAGGUAUCUUAAUAGAAAUGCUUUUACAAAUAAAAACAAGCCAGUGGUCAAAUGUCUUUGGAAAUGUCUCUGUUCUUUUACGCCAAAAAAAAAUGUCUCUUAACUUUCAGUGUUUUGUUUCAUGAGAAACUAGAUUCUAACCCCGUGCAUCCGCACGAGAAUUUUUUGUUUUUUAUUCUAAUAUAAAUUGUAAUUAUUUUUUUUGUUUAGAUAUAAUUUGUUUUUGUUAUUUAUUUUUUUUUAAAUCAAGAAAAUUUUUAGCAUGUUUUAAUUUUAAAUAAUAUAGAAUUGUAUAUCAGUAGAAUAAAUAUAUAAGUUAAUUACGUAUACAUCGAUCUAAUGUUAAUUAUAAAUUUUAUUAUUAUGUAAAUUUUGAUUUACAUAUAAACAAUCUAUGUAUAUAUCUAUGAAUUUGCUAAUUGUCUGUUUAGUUGCCUUAAAAUCAUUUUUUUAAUAUUUUACAUGUUUUGACAAACUAACCAGUAUAGAACUCUAAUUAUAAAUGCAUAACCCUAAUUUGCUCUAUCAUAUUAUUGUAGAAUAGAAAUAUUAAUUAAUAUUGAAGUUUUGAUAGUUUAGAUUGAUUGAUUAUGAUAAAAUAUAAUAAGAUAUUCAUUUACCAUUAUAUCUAUAUAUUGGCUAACCUGUUAGUUUAAUUGCCUCAAAUCAUCUUAAUAUCUUAUAUAUUUUAAUAAACUAAUUUAUAGACCAUAAGUAUAAAUAUAUAACCCUAAUCAGCUAUAUUAUAUUAUAAAUUUGAUAUUUUAGACCGAUUGAUUAUGAUAAAAUACAAUAAGAUAUUCGUUUAUUAUGCGCUAUUAUGAGAAUAUCAUUUAAAUUUAAAAUUUAAAUUAAAUCUAACAUGUAUUUAAGUAAUUCUAAAGUAUUAAAAUUAUUAUCUAAAUUUUUAUAAUAAAAUUUAAUUAUAAUUUUUUCAUUUUUUGAAUUUUAAAUUAAAUUUGAAUAAUUAUAAAUUUUGAAUAAUUUCAAAUUUAAACAAAUAUGACAUAUAUUUAAGGAAAUCUAAAACUAUUUAAAUAUAUAACUAAUUUUCGGAAAUAAAUAUAAAUAUAAAAUAAAAUAUUUUUAAAAAAAAUUUGGGAGUGUUUGGAAGCAGAUACUAAAAAUGCUUCUGUUUUAAUAUAAUAGAUUGCACAAACUAGUAACCAAUAAAUUGAAAAUUAGUUCUCUUUCCUCAGCACUAUUCAUCGCGUACUAUUUAUUGCCAAAAAUCAAUUUUACCCUUCUUUUUUCAAUCAAAUUACAUCUUUAGUUUUUAUCUCUUCAACCAUUGUCCAUGAAAGAAAAAUGCAAAGAAUAAGAGAAAAAAAUAGAACAAGAAAAGAAGAAAGAAGAGAACAAAGAAGAUGGAUGAAAUUGAAGAUAGAAAUGGAGAUGGAGGUUAGUUAUAGUGCAACGAUGGUCUUAAUGAUGGUGGUGACGUCACCACUGACGUCACGAUAUGUUAUCGAUAACAUUAUUAGCAAUUAGCAAACGAGUUAUCGAUAUAAUUUUGAAUAAAUCUUGUUAUGAUAACUAAGUUAGCACACAUACUAUUCUGAUUUGUAUAUGUUAACAUACAAAAAGUAUCAGAUAUUAUUGUUAAUAUGUUAUAAAUACUAGAUAUUAGUGUUAAACACAUUAAUAUUUAUAUAAUAUGUUAUUAUAAUUAUUAUCAUGUUAACUAAUUAUAUAACAUUAUAUUAAUAUUAGCAUGUUAACAUUUUAUAUUAGACGUUAACAGAAUAAACGUUAUCAUGUUAAUUAUUGUUAGCAUGUUAACAAGAAGAUUUCUGGUAAUGAAUAGUGUCAUCGGACGUUUAUGGACAAUGUUACCCGUUUGUGGAUGAACAGUAUUUCCAAUAUAAUCUAUCAGAAAAAAAAAAAUUAAAUCAUUGGCAAUUUUAUAAAUAAACAAAAUAAGAAGGAUAGAAUUGGAUAAAACAAUAUAUUCUUUUUGCUAGUUACCUAAUUAUCAAUUUAUCGAUGCUAUAAACUUAAUUUUUUUUAUGAACCAUUGAUAUACAAUAAAUUCACUCUUGCUUCAAUAUAACAUAAAGAAGGGACAUGUUUCUUUCUUCAACCUUUAUUUUACUCUCUAGCCUAAGCCAGUGGUCCUCUCCUUGGCGGCUAUAAAAAAACAAACUUUUAAGAGCCGCCAACGACUUCAUACAAAGACCUUUGAAACAAACAAGCCAGUAGUUUCCAGUACAGUUCUCAUACAAAUUCCUCUGAAUUUUACUCUCCUCUUUAAGCAUUUCGCUUCUAUAUAUACACAAGGAAGCUUGUUUCCUCAACCACUGCUAUACUUUCUUUAAACGCUCUCUUUUGCUGGAUUUCUCUCAUGGCUUCUUCUUCUUCUUCUUCUUCUUCUUCUCAUUUUUCGUCUGAGGUUAAGAGUCUCCAUGUAUUUCCGAGCUUCCACGGCCCAGAUGUUCGUAGAGGAUUCCUCAGUCAUUUACACGAUCUCUUUGCAAGGAAAGAGAUCACGAUUUUCAAGGAUCAGGAGAUCGAGAGAGGCCAUACGAUCGGAUCUGAACUCGUGAAAGCCAUUAGAGAAGCGAGACUGUCCAUCGUUUUGCUCUCCAAGAACUACGCUUCUUCGAGCUGGUGUUUGGACGAACUGGUGGAAAUCUUGAAGUGCAGAGAAGCUCAGGGGCAGAUUGUGAUGCCCAUUUUCUACGAUGUUGAUCCGUCCAGUGUACGCAAACAGAGCGGAGACUUCGGGAUCGCUUUUGAGAAAACCUGUGAAGGUGAAACAGAGGAAGUGAAACAGAGAUGGGUCGAAGCUUUGACAUGUGUAGCAACCAUAGCUGGAGAACACUCUCGUAACUGGUUUGUUUUUGAGCUCAAUGAACCUGCAGAAAUCCUUUUUUAAUUAUCUUUCGUUUAAGAUUUUGUUUUUUUUUUUCAGGACUGAUGAAGCUGCUAUGGUGGAAAAGCUUUCCACAGACGUCUCGAACAAACUGAGAUUGGAAGAGAUUAAGAAAGAGUUUAGGGAAUGCGAUGUGGACCAGAAUGGUUUCAUAACUGCAGCAGAGCUUCGAUAUGUGUUGACAAAAGAUGGGGGUGAAUUUACUGAUGAGCAAGUUCGUGAUAUCAUUCGAGUAGCUGAUGUUGAUGGCGAUGGUCAGAUCAACUAUGAUGAAUUUGCCAAAUUCAGGACUCUUGUGUGAGGGUUUCUUAAAAGCCAAGAAAACAAAAAGUGUCUUACAGUGAAAUCUUAUUGCAAUCUAAUAAAAAUAAGUUUUUUUUUUUUUCGUUUGUUAGGAUGGCUGAUGAAGAUGCUGCGAGCGAAAAGCUUUCUACAGAUAUCUUGAACAAACUGAGAGUGGAAGAUAUGAAGGAAGAAUUUAGGAAAUACGAUGUAGACAAGAAUGGUUUCAUAACUGAAGCAGAGCUUCGAUAUGUGAUGACAAAAGAUGGGGGGAAAGUAACCGAUGAAGAAGUUGAUGAGAUAAUCCGAAAAGCUGACGUUGAUGGCGAUGGUCAGAUCAACUAUGAUGAAUUUGCCAAAUUUACCAUAGCUAAGUGAGGCAUUCUUAAUUAAAUCUUUUUUUUAAAAAAAAAAAAACCUUAAUUAACCUGAAGGAAAAAAGAAGAAGGAAAAAGUGUGUCUUACAUUGAAUUUUCAUCAUGAUUUAAUUAGAACGCUUUUGUGUCUUUUUAAUUUUUGUAGGGAGGCUGAUGAAGAAGCUGCGAUGGUUCGAAAGUUUGCCACAGAUGUUACACUGUCGAGGGAGGAAGAGAAAGAAAUUAAGGAAUUAUUUACGGGUUUAGAUGUAGACCAGAAUGGUUUCAUAACUGCAGCAGAGUUUCAAUAUGUGAUGAAAAAUAGUGGGAGCAAACUAACCGAUAAGGAAAUUCGUAAUUUCUUCCGAAGAGCUGAUGUUGAUGGCGAUGGUCAUCUCAACUACGAUGAAUUCGUCAAAGUCAUGACGGCUGAGUGAGACAUUCUUAACCCUUUAUAGAUAAAGCCUUUGUUUAUAAUGUAAAACGGCUUUGUCUUUUUUUUUAAAAAUCGAUGAUUCAGUCGUGGAGUUUCUAUAAUCUUAUAAGAUUCUGUUUUUUUUUUUUCUUUUUUGUUAGAAGGAGGAGGGCUGAUGAGGAAGCUGCGAGGGUCGAAAAGACUGCAACAGAUGUCUUGAACAAAGUGAAUAAAUUCGUCAAAUUCAUGGUGAAAGCUUUAUCUUGAAGAAAAAAGAAUAACGAUUUACGAAUGUCUAAGUAAAUUUUCAUCAUGACUUGAACCUGGCUGUCUUCUUUAGGACAUGUUUUUACUUCUUUAAUUUCCACCUUCUAUUUGGUUGCUUUGUUAAGCUCUUCAAUUAAUGUUAUGUCAAGUAUGAACUCAUGUUUUGCCCAUCUUGUGACACUUGAUUUUCUCUCUUUGUUUUAUUUGUUUCUAUAUUUCUCUUGUUUUUUUUCUUCAAUAUAAUGUACUACAAAUUGGCCGCCAAGACGUCUAGGGUAGUUGAAAAAUACUCAAACGACACAAGUUUAACCGGUAAAAAUUUGGUCAAAGAAAAAGGUCAACGUUCGAUUAGUCUCUCACAAAUCACAAGAAGAAAGAUUCCUGAUCUUUAUCGCAAGAGGAAGCAAGAGACUGUAUUUUAAAACGAGAUCUCGUUUUAAAACUAAACUAAAUUCUAAUUCCGUGCGUUUGCACAAGAAAUUUUCUUUGUUUAACGAAUUUCGUAAUAUAAUUUACGUUUUUUGAGUUUAGAUAUAAUUAUUUUUAUAGAUAAAUUCUUUUAAUAAAUAAAAAUAUUUAUUUUUUAAUUUAGAUAUAAUUUGCUUUUUGUAAAUUUUUUUAUAAUAUCAAAGAUAAUUGUGAUUAUUAAAAAUAUAAUUUUACCAUGUCCAUUCAUAUUAAUCUCAAAAAACUAUGAUUAUAAAAUUAUAAUUUUAACUUGUCCGUUCAUAUUACUUUAUAUUAUAAAUAUUUAUUAAAAUUUGUAUUUUAUUUUAUAAAUAGUAUUUCAACAGUAUUUUAUUUAUCAUGAAAUAUUUUAUAAAUAGUUUUCUAAAUUUAAUCUAUAAUAAAUGUAUGUAAUAAUUUUUAAUUUAUUUUUUAUGUUUUUCAUUUUGUAUAAAAAUAUAUUUUGGUUUAUAUUUAUGAUUUAAAAUUAGUGAUUUUAGCUACCAAAAUAUUUUUAACUCGGUUUUUAUAUAUAUUUUUAGUUCUAUGAAUUAUAAAUAUGAUUUAUAUUGGAUUGUUUUGGGAAGCAAUGAUGGUUCUUGCAAAAUCUGGGAUGCCAAAGAAAGAACUUGCUUCAAGACUCCGAUUGAUAAUAAAUCUCAUGAUGUUUCCUUCGCCAAAUUCUCUCCUAAUGGGAAAUUCAUCCUUGUUGCCACUCUUGAUAGUACCCUCGUAAGUUGAAAAAUUCAGUUCCAAAUUUUGUAAUGUUAAAUUUGGUUUGAAUGAUCGCUUAGGCUAUGAACACACGAAAAGUAAAGAAUCUAACUCCUUGUUGGAUUAAUCUGUGAUAAAUUCUGAAUAUGAAUUGAAGAAUGUAGAGUUUUGGUUUGAAAGAUCACUUAGGUUCUGAAAUUUUACAUGAUUUAGAUUCAAACUGUUAUGGUUUUGUCUUUGAUGGGUUCUUGCAUUAGUCUUCUAUGUUUGAUCUUGAUCAUGAUUUAGAAGUUGUGGUCGACAGUAGCAGGAAACAAACAAAAAUUAACCAUAGAACUUAUGAUAUGCAGCUCUUCUCAUGAACUUUUGAUUGACAGUAGCUCUUCUUGUAGAUAUUUCAUUCUCUAAGAAAAGAAAAAAAAGGUGGCACGAAUGAUUAAAUCUUGAUCUAGAGAGAUUGUGCCAAGAAACCAGCUGAGGCGUUAUUUUUGAUGGAAUGACCUUUAUAUGGUUAAAAUUUUAGGAAAUCUUUAUAAACAUUUAUGAAGAUUUCCCUAAAAGUUCAGAAAGACAUCCUAACUCUUUUAAAAAUGUCAGAUAUAUUUUAUUAAACAUUAGUAAAGCUUGUAAACCUACAUUGAGUGGAAUUUCCUAAUCAUUUAGCAACCAUUCACAAACCCGUGUAUCUUCUAUGGUCUAUGCAUCACUUCUCUUGAAACUAUUUGUGUUUUUUUUUUUUCUUUUUUGGGGUCAUCAGGUUUUAUAGCUGAGAGCCUCUCGGAAGAAGAGAUUGCUGGUUUAAGAUAAUUGUUUCAGGCAAUGGAUAUUGAUAACAGCGGCGCUAUUAAGUUUGAUGAACUCAAAACUAGGCUGAGGAAAUAUGGAUCAACCUUGAAAGACACAGAGAUCCAUUAUCUCAUGGAAGCGGUAAAAUCUAAUCUCAUUUGGCUACAAAAUGAAAGUUAAUUAUUGUGUGCUUUCAGUGACGAGCUCUUGUAUUGGCCAGGCUGAUGUGGAAAACAGUAGGACAAUUGAUUACAGUGAGUUCAUUGCAGCUACUAGCCAUAUAAACUAACUGGAGCAGGAAGAACAUCUUGUCGCUAGGUUUUAAUACUUUGACAGACGGAAGCGCUUCCUAAAACAUUAGGAAAAACUUUGUAAACCUUUUUAAUAUUAAUGGUUUCUCUAAACUCUUAAGAAAUAUUCAUAUAUAAUUCAUAAAUUUUUGAAAAAAACUUUCAUAAAUCCUUUUAGUUAGACUUUUUAUCAUUUAGGAAAGCGUUCCGAAAAGUUUAAAAUGGCUUCCUAAAUCAUUAGAAAUGCUCUGCAAACCUAUUAGUGUUUCUAGAGGGUUUGAAACUCUUAGGAAACAUAUAUAAACCCUUCAUAAAAUUCGUAAUAAGAAUUUCUUAACAUUUAGAAAAGCAUUCCUAAAAAUUUAUAAAAGCUUUCUAAAACGUUGAAAAGCUUCUUAGAGCACUAGAAAUGCUUUGUAAAUCUUUUGAAAUUUCGAGGGUUUAAAAACAUCUUAAGAAAACUCCUUGAGAAACCCUUGAAAAAAACAUUCUUCAAAAUUUAGGUGGUCAUUUUCUUGUUUCUUGAUUAUGAAAUAAGACAUUGCUAAAUUUGUAUGAACCUUUUCCAAUAUUUAUAGAUGCUUCCUAAAUUUAGAGUUUCCGAAAGCCUUCUUACUUUUUAGGAAUCAUUUUUACAAAUUUAAGAAUGUCCUCCUAAAUCGUAUAUUAACCAAUUCAUAUUAAGUUCACAUAUUAGGAUCAGAAGACAUUCUUCUGAUUAGCUAAACAAAUAUUGUUUGAAGCUUGGGGAAUACGGGCUUCGGGCCCAGAACCUCUCGGUAAUCUAAAAAAAAAAUGUAGAUAUAUUGUUUGAAUAAACACAAAAGAGAAUCAUGCGAUGAAGAGGAUGGGACUACGAGCAGUCGAGCAAGAUUCAAUUUGCAUUCAGCUGCGAGGAAAAUAACAUGAUACUUGAGUUGCGGAGUACAGACUUUUGAGUAGUGGAAGCAGCAAGUAUUAUGUCAUUUUCAAACGAAUUAAAAGUCGGUUUAGUUAUCAAACCAAAUUUACAAUUGGAAGGGGGUUUAGAAUCAUAAUUUGAAUCUUUUCACGGUGGUGGUGGUGGGGGGGGGGGGGGGGGGGUUUAGAACCCUCAUUUUGAAUCUACCUAGUUAGUCUUCUUCUAAUUUAUCUCCUGUCGGAUUCUGAUAUUUUUAUCUCUGAGCUCAAUUUACAAAUUCAUAUUCCGGUUUACAAAAUAAAAACAAGCCAGUGGUCAAAUGUCUUUGGUCUUUAAGCAUUUUGCUUUCAGAUGUAUAAAGAAGGGAUUUGUUUCUUCCUCCAGGCUCCAUAGAUAUCUUAUCCAAAGCCACUGUGAUAGAUACUUUCUUCAACCUCUCUGUUUACUCUCUCUCUCUCUCUCUCUCUCAGUCUCUAGUCAAAGCCAGUGGUCCUCUCCUCGGCGGCUAUAAAAACAAAAGAAAACAAACUUUUGAAACAAGCCAGUAGUUUCCAGUACAGUUCUCAUACGAAAAUUCCUUUGAAUUUUCCUCUCCUCUUUACCCGUUUGGCUUAUAUAGAUGAACUAAGAAAGCUUGUUUCCUCAAACCACUGCUAUACUUUCUUCAAACUCUCUUUUGCUCUAUCUCUCUCAUGGCUUCUUCUUCUCCUGCUUCUCCUUGUGCUUAUAUUAAGAGAUACGAUGUCUUUCCAAGCUUCAACGGGCCAGAUGUUCGUAAAGGACUCCUCAGUCAUUUACACGAUCACUUUUUAAGGAAGGAAAUCAAAAUGUACAAGGAUGAUAAGAUGGAGAGAUGCAAUACGAUCAAACAUGAACUCGUGAAAGCGAUUAGAGAAUCGAGGGUCUUGAUGGUUUUGCUCUCGAAGAACUACGCUUCUUCCAUCUGGUGUUUGGACGAACUGGUGGAAAUCUUGAAGUGCAGAAAAGAUAAGGAACAGAUUGUGAUGCCUAUUUUCUACGACGUUGAUCCGUUCCAUGUACGCACACAGAGCGGUGACUUCGGGAGCGCUUUCGAGAAAACCUGCGAAAACCAAACAGAGGAAGUGAAGCAGAGAUGGGUCGAAGCUUUGAAAUGUGUAACGACCAUAGCUGGAGAACACUCUUGUAACUGGUUUGUUUUUGUGCUCAAUGAACCUGCAAGAAUCCUUUUUAUCUUUCGUUUAAGAUUUUGUUUUUUUCCAGGCCUGAUGAAGCUGCGAUGGUCCAAAAGCUUUGCACAGAUGUCUUGUACAAACUGAGAGUGGAAGCUAUUAAGGACGAAUUUAGGAAGUACGAUGU